UCCUGUGUUUAAGCCACGCAGUCUAUGGUGUUCUGCCACAACAACCAAGGAGACAAAGGCAGAAGUACUAAAUACUUUGAUUUGUUCAGCAGCAGUUACCCUCAUCUCACUCAAAACCUUCAUCAAUGGUGGUACCAAGAUGUGCAGAUAACCAUUUUCCACCUAAAUUUCCUGGUCUUCAGAAUGUUUCCCGCAUAAGGGUAUCACACACAUUCCCUUUUCCUGCCUCACUUCAUAAAAAGUCCCUCCAGUCGGCUGCCCUCAGCUUCCAUACUUGUCCUGUGCCUUUCCUAAACUGGGUUCCAUUUUGCUUUUCCCCAGACCACGCUCUUCCACGUUCUCCCUUACCUAUUCAUUGUCAGCCCCCUUCUCUGUAGCCGCUUGGAUAUUAUUUUUACCCUACCAGGGGUUCUGUGGAUUCAGGUUAGACUGAAACAUAUUACCCUAGGCUAUGACUGAAAGUUGGGUUUUAAUUUUAUUUUCUGCCUCAAAAAGAUUUGUUACAGAAUUGUUGGAAAACUCAGCCUAGAUUUUCAAAUUAUCUGAAAAGUUUUGUGUGUAGUCCAGAAUCUCAACCUUGUUCAAUCAACUUUUCCAAUUGCCUCAGCACACACACAUUCAUCUAGACCUUUUAGGAGUUUUACACUUUUUUCUCCACUAGUCAGUUUAGCUCUUGACUAGAAACUAUAAAGUUUUUGUUUUUCUCUCAUUUCUGACCUCUUUUUUUCCCCAAUCCCAAACUCACUGUUUUUCUCCCUUCCUCUCCCCAAUCUGUCUGUCUCUCUCUCACACACACACCUCACUUAUUUUUCAUUCAUCUUUAAGUGUAAUUAAGACAAUGCUAAAUAUGUAGCAGUUACUCAAUACAUCAGCUGUUGAUUGUUUGCUGACAGCAUUAACCUGAGUUAUGCUCAAUUAUUUCUGAUUUGUGAAAUUAUUUCUGAAUUUCACCCUCUUCUUGAUCUCAGAGGCAAACAUGAGAAAGAUUCUGCCUGGAAAAAAAUGCAAUUACUCUCAAGGAAUUUCCCAUAAAAUAUUUGCAAAAACAUAAUAUAAAAAGAAUUGUGGUUGAUGACAUUUACUUUAGGCCUCCUGUAUGUUGAUCUUUUCACUUCAAAGCUGAUUUCAUUUUGGCCCUUAGCUUUAAGCACAGGAUAAUUUGCUUGCUUGGAUUACUGUUGAGUCUAAUAAGUGUUGGGUCGUUAAUAAAACCUUUUCAGAACAUGAUAAUGGCUUAGGA
Molecule: long non-coding RNA, 1240 nt
Filed under: Sus scrofa (pig)
Lineage: Eukaryota; Metazoa; Chordata; Mammalia; Artiodactyla; Suidae
Description: lncRNA (ENSSSCG00015048218.1)
Source: RNAcentral